AAUCAACGCUGGCGGCGUGCCUAACACAUGCAAGUCGAACGCGGUUAUUCCCGCAAGGGAGUAACUGAGUGGCGAACGGGUGAGUAACGCGUGGGUGACCUACCUUCGAGUGGGGGAUAACGUCCCGAAAGGGACGCUAAUACCGCAUAACAUCCUGUCCUUGAACGGAUGGAGAUCAAAGCCGGGGAUCGUAAGACCUGGCGUUUGAAGAGGGGCCCGCGUCUGAUUAGCUAGUUGGUGAGGUAACGGCCCACCAAGGCGACGAUCAGUAUCCGGCCUGAGAGGGCGGACGGACACACUGGGACUGAGACACGGCCCAGACUCCUACGGGAGGCAGCAGUGGGGAAUUGUUCGCAAUGGGCGCAAGCCUGACGACGCAACGCCGCGUGGAGGAUGAAGGUCUUCGGAUUGUAAACUCCUGUUGCCCGGGACGAAUGGCUCCAACCUAAUACGUUGGAGUGUGACGGUACCGGGUGAGGAAGCCCCGGCUAACUCUGUGC
Molecule: ribosomal RNA, 500 nt
Filed under: uncultured bacterium
Lineage: Bacteria
Description: bacterial SSU rRNA
Rfam family: Bacterial small subunit ribosomal RNA
Source: RNAcentral